UCAGGAUGUCCAGCCCAACGGCAUAUUGCCAUUGCAUCUUGGUAGUUUCGCUCUAUGUUUCGAGGACUUCCUGUGAAACUUGCUGGGAGUACUAUUCUCCUCCCUACUUGCUCUGUCAGCGUGUCUCCUUUUCUGAAUGCAUCCUGUAGUCCAUCAUAAAGUUGUGUUCUUAAAUUUCCUUGAUUUUUUCUGAUCCAAUUGAGCCUAUCCUGUUCGAUGCAUGUAUAGACAUCUACCACAAACUGCAUCGACAGAUUUCCACACAUUAGCAUUAACAUUGACUGGCCUGGGCGCUGUUGGAGGUGAUAUGCAUAGUAUUCCAGCAUGGUGAUGUAUUUCUUGUUACUUACACCUUUCUUUUUUUUGUACUUGAUUCCAAGUCUAUAACCAUCUUCCCCAUAUGGGAAGAGCAACGGGUAUUGCAUGGCCAUGAAUUUUGGAUGGAUUUCUGAUAUCCUUUUAGGUUUCAUAUCUUUGUACUCGAGAACAAUGUCACGUCCGUAAUGUUUUUGGGUUGGAUCUUUGACUAUCAGUGCAGCAACUUCUGAUAUUGAUGGCAUGUUAUCUUGCCUCCCAUCUUGAUCCCUGCUGCCAAGUAAACGCAGAGUGAAAUUGUUGUAGUCAUCUUCUUUAAAUCUAUCUCUUGCCAUUCGGAAUGAUUGUGCUAAUGUGUUAUUCUCGUCGAGCAUGCUUAGUAGGCCACUGACAAUUGUUUGCUUUAGUGAGGCAUCACGUGAAGGGGAGCCUUGGCGCAGUGGUAAAGCUGCUGCCUUGUGACCAUGAGGUCAUGGGUUCAAGUCCUGGAAACAGCCUCUUACAGAAAUGUAGGGAAAGGCUGCGUACUAUAGACCCAAAGUGGUCGGACCCUUCCCUGGACCCUGCGCAAGCGGGAGCUACAUGCACCAGGUUGCCCUUUUAGUGAGGCAUCACGUUCACCAGAUCUUGAUGCUUCUACCCUAUUCUGGAUCUCAUUAUCUGUGUCAUAGAUAUACAACUGCUGGAAACGAGGCCUAUUUCCUUCUUCGGGUAGUAGGGUUCCUAUCUGGUGGCGGUUCUGGCCAUUCAGUCGGAACACAUAAGGUCCACGCCCUUCGUUUAUUUUCUUAUCCAAAGUCCCCCCCCCCCAUUGAUGUGAACGCAAACAUGGAAUUGUAAGACCUAAUGUUCUUUCGGUAGUUUGCUGAUAUUUUUCCUCCACCCCUUGUUAAUAAACUUGUAAGGUAAGGCGGCGGUUCUUUAAAUGGUGGCAAGAUAAUCUUCCCUUGUUUGCAGCAUUGUGCAAAGGAUGGUUGUCUUGUUCUGGAAGAUUGUAUUCUUUCUGCAUACCACAUAAGUGCAUGGCAGUGUUGGCAGAUGUAUGUUGGCCCCCCAAAGUUCCAUAUCUUACUGGCAUUAGAAUUAUCAUCCUUGUCCAUUUCACCGUUAUUGGUUCUAGCAUGCCUUCUGCUCUUGUUGAGUUGAAUUUGUGCUUUCCUCUUCAUUCGUGCUGUUCUCGUUAAUUCGUCCUGGCGUCUCCGUUUCAUCAUCUGCUCAGCCAUCAUUGCACUGUCUACAACUGAUGAUUCUGUGACUUGUGCUGGUUGAUAAUUUGAAUUUGCCCUUACCGCAUGGCAAUAUUGGCUAGUACAUAAAUUUUGAAAUCUCAAGUCCAUUAUUUGUUGAUUCUGUAUAGCUGAUGCCCCUUCAAAGUUCCAUAUCUUACUACCACUGGAAUUACUGUCUUUGCUUUUUUCAGUGUUAUUGAUCCGGGCACGUUUGCUACCCCCUUUCAGUUGAAGUUGUGCUUUCCUCUUCAUCCUUGCUGUUCUUGCUAAUUCAUUUUGUUGUCUUUGUUUCGUAAUUUGCUUCGCAGUUACUGCACCGUGUAAAGUUGAUGAUUCCUUGACUUGCAAUGCUUGAUGAUUUGAAUUUCCUCGUGACACCUUGCAAAUUCGGCACAUGCAUAGUUUUGUACCCAAGUUCCAGCACAGUAUUUGUUGAUCUGUAUAGCUAUUGGCAGGUAGGGCAUCUCUUCCUCUGCUUUUUUCCAUCAGGUCUGUUACACUUAGUGCCCUCUGGAGUUGAUGUUCUUGCUUUGCCUUUUUUAUCUUGCUCACCAGAUUAGUUCUGUAGUGAUACUUGAUUUUAUUUACUUUCCUGCUCUUUCUGCUCCUGAAUUCGGGUCAUACACUCGUACUUCUCCCUUCAAGAUUUCUACUGAUCCUUUUGACUGGCUUUAAUUGUUUUGAU
This 2229-nucleotide long non-coding RNA is filed under the name Triticum aestivum (bread wheat). RNAcentral's name for it is "long non-coding RNA (TAES_LNC004336)". Lineage: Eukaryota; Viridiplantae; Streptophyta; Magnoliopsida; Poales; Poaceae. The record is from RNAcentral.